CAGGAAGUUGGAAUGUGCACACGGA
RNAcentral lists this non-coding RNA (25 nucleotides) under Mus musculus (house mouse). The record is from RNAcentral. Lineage: Eukaryota; Metazoa; Chordata; Mammalia; Rodentia; Muridae.